Molecule: ribosomal RNA, 374 nt
Filed under: uncultured organism
Description: partial 16S ribosomal RNA
Rfam family: Bacterial small subunit ribosomal RNA
Source: RNAcentral
GUAGGUGGCAAGCGUUGUCCGGAAUUAUUGGGCGUAAAGCGCGCGCAGGCGGUUCUUUAGGGUCUGAUGUGAAAGCCCACGGGCUCAACCGUGGAGGGUCAUUGGAAACUGGAGAACUUGAGUACAGAAGAGGAAAGCGGAAUUCCACGUGUAGCGGUGAAAUGCGUAGAGAUGUGGAGGAACACCAGUGGCGAAGGCGGCUUUCUGGUCUGUAACUGACGCUGAGGCGCGAAAGCGUGGGGAGCAAACAGGAUUAGAUACCCUGGUAGUCCACGCCGUAAACGAUGAGUGCUAAGUGUUAGGGGGUUUCCGCCCCUUAGUGCUGCAGCUAACGCAUUAAGCACUCCGCCUGGGGAGUACGGCCGCAAAGGCUG